This 87-nucleotide transfer RNA is filed under the name Maritalea porphyrae. RNAcentral's name for it is "tRNA-Leu". It matches the Rfam family "tRNA". From Rfam's summary of the family: Transfer RNA (tRNA) molecules are approximately 80 nucleotides in length. Their secondary structure includes four short double-helical elements and three loops (D, anti-codon, and T loops). Lineage: Bacteria; Pseudomonadati; Pseudomonadota; Alphaproteobacteria; Hyphomicrobiales; Devosiaceae. The record is from RNAcentral.
GCGGACGUGGUGAAAUUGGUAUACACAAGGGACUUAAAAUCCCUCGCCUUGAUCGGCUUACGGGUUCAAGUCCCGUCGUCCGCACCA